This 780-nucleotide ribosomal RNA is filed under the name Triticum aestivum (bread wheat). RNAcentral describes it as "partial small subunit ribosomal RNA". The record is from RNAcentral. Lineage: Eukaryota; Viridiplantae; Streptophyta; Magnoliopsida; Poales; Poaceae.
AUGAAAGGGCCACUACACUACAGACUACCAGCUUGCACUUCCAGACGAAGCACUACACUACAUACAAGAUCCAACCAACAGACAGACAUGGAACUAGGCAACGCCACACGGUCCCCUUGGCAAUGUGGGAGGCUACUCCUUGGUGGCGGCGACCUUCUUCUUGGGGGACUUGGCGGCGGCCUUCUUCUUGGGCGACUUGGUGGCCUCCUUCUCGGCGGCGGCGGCCAACUUCUUGGGGAGCAGCACGGGGUUGAUGUUGGGGAUCACGCCGCCGUGGGCGAUGGUGACGCCGGCCAGCAGCCUGCCGAGCUCCUGGUCGUUGCGGACGGCGAGAAGCAGGUGCCGCGGCACGAUGCGGGUCUUCUUGUUGUCCUUGGCCGCGUUGCCGGCCAGCUCCAGGACCUGCGAUUCAUCAACCAAGAACGAAAUCGGUUACUCCGUCGAACAGAGGAAGAAGAAGGGGCAGGACAAGAACGCGGCGGAUGCUCGAGGAGGGGGGAGGAGAGGGGGUACCUCGGCGGCGAGGUACUCGAGGACGGCGGCGAGGUAGACGGGGGCGCCGGAGCCGACGCGCUGCGCGUAGCGGCCCUUCUUGAGGAAGCGCCCGAUGCGGCCGACGGGGAACUGGAGCCCGGCCUUGACGGACCGGGUCACCGCCUUCUUCCUCUCGCCAACCUUCCUCCCGGCCAUCUCGCUUGCUUGCUUGCUCCUCCGGCGAACUGGAAACCACUCGGGAUGCGGGGGAGCUCUCGGGUGCUGCUGGAUCGGAGAAUGCUCUGA